GUCGACGCACUGACGUCGACCGAAGCUGCUUGCAGUGGACGUUGAUUGACGUGAGUGGCGGACGGGUGAGUAACACGUGGGUAACCUACCCUUAAGUGGGGGAUAACAUUUGGAAACAGAUGCUAAUACCGCAUAACCAUUCAGACCACAUGGUCUGAAUGUAAAAGACGGCCUUUGGCUGUCACUUUUGGACGGACCCGCGGCGUAUUAGUUAGUUGGUAAGGUAACGGCUUACCAAGACAAUGAUACGUAGCCGACCUGAGAGGGUAAUCGGCCACAUUGGGACUGAGACACGGCCCAAACUCCUACGGGAGGCAGCAGUAGGGAAUCUUCCACAAUGGACGAAAGUCUGAUGGAGCAACGCCGCGUGAGUGAAGAAGGUUUUAGGAUCGUAAAACUCUGUUGUUGGAGAAGAACAGGGACUAGAGUAACUGUUAGUCCUUUGACGGUAUCCAACCAGAAAGCCACGGCUAACUACGUGCCAGCAGCCGCGGUAAUACGUAGGUGGCAAGCGUUGUCCGGAUUUAUUGGGCGUAAAGCGAGCGCAGGCGGUUUUUUAAGUCUGAUGUGAAAGCCUUCGGCUUAACCGAAGAAGUGCAUUAGAAACUGGGAAACUUGAGUGCAGAAGAGGACAGUGGAACUCCAUGUGUAGCGGUGAAAUGCGUAGAUAUAUGGAAGAACACCAGUGGCGAAGGCGGCUGUCUGGUCUGUAACUGACGCUGAGGCUCGAAAGUAUGGGGAGCGAACAGGAUUAGAUACCCUGGUAGUCCAUACCGUAAACGAUGAAUGCUAAGUGUUGGAGGGUUUCCGCCCUUCAGUGCUGCAGCUAACGCAUUAAGCAUUCCGCCUGGGGAGUACGACCGCAAGGUUGAAACUCAAAGGAAUUGACGGGGGCCC
This 897-nucleotide ribosomal RNA is filed under the name Loigolactobacillus coryniformis. RNAcentral describes it as "bacterial SSU rRNA". It matches the Rfam family "Bacterial small subunit ribosomal RNA", at positions 46 to 922 of the family's 1533-position model. The record is from RNAcentral. Lineage: Bacteria; Bacillati; Bacillota; Bacilli; Lactobacillales; Lactobacillaceae.